UUUUCUUCUAGUGAGUUCCUGGUUUAAGCUAAAAGUCAAAAUAUUUUCAUAUUCAGAAGCUCCAUUGAAAUUGGACUGCAAGGAUAUCUAAAGAAGCAGUUGUAGUUAUGCUGCAGGAAGAUAAUGCUAAAAUGCUGACUGGAAGCUGGCUGACGUGACGUCUAUCUACAAGAAGGGCCAGAAGGAGGAUCCAGGGAACUACAGACCUGUCAGUCUGACCUCUGUGCUGGGCAAGGUCGUGGAACAGAUCAUCUUGAAUAACAUCACACAGCACCAACAGAAGAACCAUGUGAUGAGACCCAGAACCAUGUGAUGAGACCCAGUCAACAUGAGUUUAUGAAAGGCAGGUCCUGUUUGACCAACCUGAUCUCCUUCUAUGACAUGGUGACCCCCCAAGUAGAUAAAGGAAAGGCUGUGGAUGUUGUGUACUUAGACUUCAGUAAGGCCUUUGACACUGUAUCCCACAGCAUUCUCCUGGAGAAGCUGUCAGCUCAGGGCCAGGAUGGGUGUACUGCACGAUGGAUGAAGAACUGCCUGGAUGGCUGAGUCCAAAGAGCUGUGGUGAAUGGAGCCAAAUCCAGUUGGCAGCCAGUCACAACUGGUGUUUCCCAGGACUCAGUCACAACAACCCCAGGUAGUGCUACAGGCUCAAGGAAGAGUGGCUGGAAAGCUGCCUGGCAGAGAGGGAUCUGGGGGUGUUGAUUGACAGCUGGCUGAACAUGAGCCAGCAGUGUGCCCAGGUGGCCAAAAAGGCCAACAGCAUCCUGGCUUGUAUCAGGAAUAGUGUGGCCAGCAGGACUAGAGAAGUGAUUGUGCCACUGUACUCGGUGCUGGUGAGGCUCCUCCUUGAAUCCUGUGUUCAGUUUUGGGCCCCUCAUCAUAAGAAGGACAUUGAGGUGCUGGAAAGAGUUCAGAGGGGGGCAACGAGGCUGGUGAGGGGCCUGGAGCACAGGUCUGAUGAGAAGAGGUUGAGGAAACUGGGGCUGUUUGGCCUGGAGAAAAGGAGUCUGAGGGGAGACCUUAUCGCUGUCUACAACAACCUGAAAGGAGGUUGUAGCAUGGAGGGUGUUGUUCUUUUCUCCCAAGUAACAAGUGAUAGGACAAGAGGAAAAGGCCUCAAGUUGUGUCAGCAGCAGUUUUGAUUGGAUAUUAGGAAAAAAAUCAUUAUGGAAAGGGUUGUCAGUCAUUGCCCAGGGAAGCAGUGGAGUCACCAUCCCUGGAGGUGUUUAAAAGGUGUUUAGGCAAGGUUCUUAGGGAUGUUAUUUAGUGCUAGAGUUAGGUUAUGGUUCCAUGUUUCCAUGUUUUUCUUUCCUUUUUUGACUUAAAUACAGUACACAAGUAACUGUAACAGCCUUACAGUGUGUCAUUGUUGCAUAUUAAUCUAAGGGAGCGUUGGAAAUAGGUACUCCCUCAGAAGGGAAGCAGGUUCACCUUCGACAUAAGAGAAGCUAAUUUCAAGAACAUUCAGUAGACUUCUAGUAAAUGAGGAAUCUCCUUCAGACCUACUCUGAAAGUAAGAUAUUUCUCCCAAUAUUUGAAGCAUCAUGCUGUAGAUCCAAAUUUUAAUAAGAGUUCUUUUAGCAUGCAAAGGACAUCGAGAAAACAUUUGUUUCCUCCUGCAGGUAAUCAUGCUUCACAUGCCAGUGCCCAGCCUGCGCUAAAGGUAUUGUGCAAAGAACUUGCCAAAUGCUGAUUCCAUGGAAUAUAUUAAUAGGCCAUUAAGUCUAGAUUAAUGAAAGGCUUUUUCAGAGAGAGAGGAAAACAGGCAUAACAUCAUGCUGGUGCAAUACAUUGUGUGAUUCACCAUGGGCAAAUGCUUCCCAAACAAGGGAUUAAAGAGUGGGAUUUCUGAUGCUUCUGCCAAUUAAAUGAGAGGAAAAGUAUUCUGAAUAUUGAUCUCUUGGAUGGUCCUCCAGUUGAUAACCAUGUAGAUGAAUGAGAUUAGGGAAUAAGGGAGAUACAGUCUUGCACGAUGCUUUCUCUUUGAAAAUCCAUGGUACAAUUACAGUACACUGUAACAUAUUAUAAAAUUAGUCCUGGAGCUGUUAAAGGCUUAGAACUCACAUAACACCUAACAUCUCACUUAAAUUUCUGUGAGAAAGAAAAGAGGAAACUCCCAAAAUAGGUUGCUGUCAGUAUCUCAGAUGUUUUUUUGCUUUAGUUGCUGUAAUCUUCUCCUGUCUGGCCCCACAGUUCCUCUGUUCUCUCCCUCACAUCUGUCCUAAAUGUUUCUGUUAAAGUCAUAUUCAUUUCCUCCCACACAUUAGCACUCCAUUGCUUUCCUGUCACUUGCCAUGUCAAACUCAAGCUGUUCAUCUUUACCUACAACGCCCUUAUUGUGUGCCCCCACCUAUAUAUCCAGUUUCAUUUCCUUUGACUCCCCCUCCUACAAUCCUUAUCUGGAAAUGACCUCAGUUUACAGGAUUUGUGGCCCACAAAAGAAAAGACAGAAUUGAAACUGCUUUUAAUCAAAGCCCUGGUUUCCAUAGCAAGUCAUACCUGCCUAACUGAAAGUAUGAUUUUAGGCCAAUAUAAUCAAACCAAGGUAGCUUUCUUUUGGGAUAUUCAUUUUAUCAUUGUUUAAGCUUGUGAUACAUACAUUAAUUUGCCAAGAUAAUCGAUUUCUUGUGAAUCAAACACAAGAAAGUCUUGAUUCUGGGUGUUUCCUGAUUUAUCACAUUUUGCCUACUUCCUAAGUAUUUUAUUGGUCUGGAAUAUGGAGGGAAGCUGCCUCUUCCUCUCUCUCUUGCUCAGCUCUUCUUUCUAACUUCCUAGCAUGUUUUUUUAGGUUGUUGUUUGGUUGCAUUUGUUUUUGUGAGUUUUGUUUGUUUGUUUGUUGUGGGUUUUUUUUUUGUUUGGUUUGUUGUUUUUUUGUCUCUUUGCUUAUUGCCUUUCUCAGCAUGCUAUAGAAGACACAGGGAUCUAGAGCAGCAUUAAGACAAGACUGGUAUAAAGAAGAGCUUUGCAUGGUGCACUUCGCUAACUGCAACUGGGUACAUUUUGCCCAGGGAUCUGCUCCAAUGUAGCAAUCUAACUACCCUAUAUGCUAUCAAUGCAUGAGUCUGUGGAGAGCUACACCAAAACUUUGCUGUGUCCUAAUAUGCAGUAUGUUUUCUUCUGCCCACUGUUGAUGUGCCUCUGUAUCUCAUUACUCCAGCAUAACAAUUAACUUCUAAAAUCAAUCAGAUUUUCUCAUUUCCAUAUCACUUUUCCCACAGUAAAGUCUGAUUACAUGGGGAUUAGGGUGAAUGGCCUUUUUCUUCUGUCUACACUGAAACAUAACUUUACAUCCACCUACAUGUACACAGGUAUUACUCCAGCUGCUAGUAGCUCCCUGAUCAAUUUUAUGUACCUAUUCACAUCACAUAAAUGUUUGUAUGCACGUUUUAUAUUUAAGAUCUGCUGAUUCUUUCUUCUUUUCAUCAGCAAGAAGAAAUGCUUUUGGGAAGGCUAUUCUUGUUUAGAGAACUUAGAGUCAAACAAUGGCUGAGCAAAUUUGACACAGUUUUUCUUAGAAAACUCCUGAAAAAAGUGUCAUGUGGUGGGACUAAAAGUGUCCUGACUGCUGUCAUGCUAUUGAUGUUUGCACAGGGGUAGCUAUAAGUGUACAGUUCUCUUGAAAUAAAACAGUUGGAGGGGUAAGCCAAGAACAUACUGUAUACUGCAUGUGUAUGUGCAUGUUUAUGUGAUGGUUAGGGUGGAUGUAUUUCUGAAUUGCUUGCUUUCAGACUGAAGGUGAAAACAAUUGGCCCUAUCUUUUAUUAAAGACACAGUAGAUCAAAUUCACCCACAGUGUAAAUGUGCUUUGGCUUCCUAGUUGUCUCCACCUGAGCUAGCAGUGAAUGUUUUUCCAGCAUGUUUAUUCCAGUAUCAGCAGAGAUAAAGCAAGUCAAGGAAGAAGGGGUGGGGGCUACACUAGAGGCCAAGGGCAGGGAGCUUUUCGUGCAGCCUCUCAAACACAUUGGUUGUAGUUUGGGAUUUUUCAAAGCUGCACAUGUUGAGUAAUAUCUGCCAAUAAACACAGCUCAGUGGGUGAGAAAUCUGUCUGCCUCUUGCUGAGGAUUAGAAGAGAAAAGACACCAAAUGAGCAGUUUCUUCACAUGUGGGUCAUGCCCCUCACUGGGGUACUUGCCCCUGACCUUAUCCUGUUCCACUUUGUCUCCCUCACUCUCUCCUGUCUUCCUUCCCCCUUCUACUCCUCCACUGCUGCACUACUGGUGGUCUGGUGAAUGCUGCACAGAUGUUUUCCCCAUGCUAUUAUAAGAUUAUUUUUCAAGUGGCUUCUUGGAACAGAUGUUCCAGUGUGUGUACUCUCCUUCCCUUGGCUGAAAGUGCUCUGCACAAAGAGCAGAUUGCAUUGCUGCUCUCCUUUUGAUCUAAUGAGCGAAAGCGAGAAAAAAAACCCACACAAAUGAUGCUGGUUUUCGUUUCAGGCUGCUUGGCAAUGCUGCACCUGGGUGUGUGUCUCCUGCUUCUUUUCUCCCCCAUCACUAGUGCUGCUUGCAGAUGUUUUUUUCUGUACCUUUCUUCCUCAGCCCAUUUUUUCCCUCUGUGACCCAAUACUUUACUCCCACUGCUUUUAAAUUUUCUUUCAUCUAACACUCCAGUAUUCGUGCUUCCAAAAUCAUUCUCUGACCCAUUGCCAACACCUCAUCUUCAUUUUCUCCUUCCUUUGGCAACUACUAGAAUGUUAGGAUGGAUUAGUCACAUGUGUUUGGGUACAAAGCCUGUCCCCUUUUUUUGUCUUUUCUUUUGUCUUUGUCUUUUUCUCCUUCAUUGCACCAGUGAAUUCACCUUACUAUUGUUGCUUCUACUUUUUCAUUUUAUUUAUCCUGCUGGGUCAGGAACAUUUUCAAGAGUCAGAGGUCUUGCAAUGUCAAGAGAGCAUAUUUUUCAAGUGCCACUUAAUUUAUAGAUUUAACAAAGGCAUGACACAAGGAGGCUGUGAAAUGCGUGCCAUGUUUUAGGAACCUGUAACUAGGCUUAAUCCACCAAAACUCAUCUUCUGGGAUUAAAAAAAGAAUUUUAAAAAUCUUUAAUUGAUCACAUCCAGUCUGACAAAUAGAUGGUAUGUCAGCCUCAACUUCAUGUGUUGGCCUUGCUUAAAAAUUCAGCUUACAUUAAUCCAGUCUUUAGGGAGAAAAAUAAAUAUUGCAAAUCUUUUCUGUGCCAAUAAGACAGAAUUUGGGAGUGGGUUUCCAACCUACUGUUAAUCAGCUUCAGUUGAUUCAGGAUGAUUUAUAUUGGUGGAGACUUUGGUUUGGAUAUGUAUUUAAAAAAAUCUGACCAUUAUUAUUCUUGUUUUGAUAUGGCCAGCACUGUAUGUACCCAUUAUUUCUUUUUAUAAUGUCCUUUUAUGGGGAAGUCCUGCAAAAUUUAUUGGGGAAUGAUAACCUCGCAUAAGAAUGUAUAGGAUUCUCUAACAGGAAAAUUAUUCUCUAUUGCAUUUGCAGUCUGUCCUAGGUUCCUCCAGAAAUGUUAAUAUUCUUGGUUGAUUUAUAGACUUGCAAGAGCAAUUUCUCUAGAACUCAACUGGAGUAAACUUAUUAAGUAUCAUACCUUCCCAAGGAAGAUUUAAACCACAAUUAUAACCUUGUGAACCCUCCCGUUCUCUAGCUUUCCUUGUAACAUUGUUCUGCAACAUUGUACUGCAGUGUGUAUCAACAAUAAAUAAAUAAAUAAACUAACAGGGGGAUAAAUGCUUUGGCAGCAUUUCCCAUCCACUAAGCUACUCCUGCUUGUGAGCUGAUCUUGCAAGCACAGCUGUGGUUGUGAUGUUCUGCUCUCAAACUAAGAAUACCUGUAAAUCUGACCUGUGGUUAUAAAUUCAGCUACAAUCCAAAUGAUCAGUUGCAAGUAAAUGGCUCUAUUUUCAUUCAGAUUUGUGACCAGUCUACCACACAUCUUCCUUCUCUGGAAAGUCAGAAAACUGUCCUUUCAGUACUAUUGCUGACAGGUUACUUCUUGCUAGCCUUGUGUUAUGCACUGAAGUAUCAGAAAGCCAUCUUAGUUACCUUUGUAUUGUCAGUAUCUAAAAGGGUAGUGGAAGGGACAUGGUAAAGAAGAAAACCAACUGGUAUAAUGAUGAUUGUCAACAGGCUUCUGAAAAAUGAUCAUAUGAUAUAAAGCACAUGAUAGCAGGAAACUGGAUUCUCAUGAUACAGGAAAUCCAGUCCUAUUUCCUGACUUUUCUGUGAGGUUGGUGUAGUAAGUGACAUUGUAAACAUAGUCACAUCCACUAUGAACUCAAAGUUUGAAAAAAAAUCUAUUAUUUCAGUCAAAGAAUUCAUUGAAAAUAAGCUGAAAAACAACCACAUGUUGGCUACACAGGUCAUGUCUUCUGACCCAAGGCCAGACGCAUGUGUCAUUCUGGACAAAAAAUUUUUUGCGUAGUUAAAAACUCCAUUGACAGAGAUGCCAUAAGCUUGUCAGCCUGUUCUAGUGUUCAACCAUUUCUGUUGUCCAUACAGUGUUCCAAGUUCUGAAUGACAUUUACGGCUGCUAUUAUACAGGCAUCUGCAGUAGGCUUUCUUAAAAAAUGAACAGGGUAAUAGUAGGAAUAUCUAGACUAUCUCUGUUGAGCUUAUUUAAGCCUCUGAUUUAGCUGUAACCUGUUAACUUAAACUUCGAGGUCUCGAGGUAGCAGGCAAGGUAUGCUUUGGUUUUUGGUUUUUGUUUUUAUUGUUUUGUUUUGGUUUUUGUUUGCUUUUGGUUUUAUGUUUUUUUAGGGUUUUUUGUGUGUUUUUUUUUUUUUUUUCAUUUAGAUCACAUAAUAGAGAGGAAAGCUUAAGAUGUUUUUAUUUUGUUUUUCAGCAAAUUUUUAUGUAAUUAUGUAAAAUAAAAAGUUGAAGGUUAUUUUAGCUAUUGCCUUACCUUUCAACAGGCCUAAAAAUAAAACCUGCAGAAUUAUUAUUUUUAAAGUAUAAAAAAAUUAAGUGUCACUGACAUUAAUUUCUAGCUGACAUUGUUCUCUGUGGAUAUGGUAUUUUAGCUUGACUUUCUGUUUAUCCUUCAAAAGAGUUUGGAUCACUAAAGAGGGUCUUUAGGUAGAGCCUGCUGUUUAAAAUGUACCUUUCCAGAAGAUGGAAUCACCGGUGGCUCUGAUGAAGAUGUGCCUCCACAUCAAAUAGCAUCUUUGCUACGGGGUCUGAGGAGGAGUUAAUCUUAAAACACUCGUGGCAUGAACUGAUCUGUGCUGGACAGAAAAAUGUGAAGAACCAAGAUUCCACUUGCAGUGGACCUGUGCAGAGGUAAGCAGCCAUGAACAGCAGGGAUCAAAAGCUGCAGAGCCUCUGCAGAGCUGCUUGGAAAUUUGCUCCCACUUUUAAUGAUAAUUUAGACAAAGUAAUAAUCUAACCUGUAGUGAUUGGCAGCUAUCUGGAUUUGAAUGAGUUUUCAGCUGUUUUACGCCUUUAUUCUGUGUGUUCCGUUUGUUUUUAAUACACAGAUUGUCAAAGGUUUAUAACAUGCCUCCAUAUAUCUGACUCUGGGAGUCCUUUUCAGGCUAAAUUGCAUUUAUUUGCCUCCAGAUGUGAUCACUUCAAAAUUUCCUGUGAGAGCUAGGGCAAAAGAAACAAUGAGAAGGUGGCUCUCCAAGUGCAUUCAGCUAAUAAAUGGCAGGACAGAGAAGUAGUAGCUCUUGGCUUCAAAAAUGAAUAGUAUUGAUCCCAAAUGAUAGAAAUGGAAUACUUCGAGAAAGCUUAUACAGGAGUAAAAUCCUCCAUCUUCUACCACCCUAAUAUUUGGCAAUCUGGAACAGCAACAAAGUAAAAAAGUUUAGAAAAUAGUAUUAAUCACAAGUUAGUAACUUGAACUAACUCUGUGUAUUGGUUAAGAGUUAUACUUCAUCGAAGCACUUUGAAAGAAGAUUUCAAACUUUGUCUCCUUUUGUCUGCGAAGGGAGAAGAGACGAACACCUACAGUAAAGGGAAAAGGAAGUUCUGGCAUAACUUGGUGUUUUGUACUCCAGUCCCUAAAGUGCACUGAAUAGUCUGCCAUGGGAGAUUCACAUUUGUUAAUACUUUCGAUAACUUUGCAUCAAGGCCUUUGUCACAGAUACAUCUAAAAAGAUACAGGCAUCUUGGAUCCCCAGUCCCACAAUUUACAGGCUGUGAAUGAGGUGGAGUUCCAAGGACUUAAAUUCAUCUUUCAUGGUGACAGGUUUGUGCUCUUGGACUGAGAUCUCUGUACUAUGUCUUUCUGAGGCAUUACAAAUACUUCUUUUCCUCUGAUCAGCAUUCUGACAGGUAUGAUAUUCAGAAUAUGAUGUUCCUGAAAGGUUAAAGAAGGAUAUUUGUUGUUACCAUCCACUGUAUUUUCUGUUUUGUCCUUUUCUUCUGCAAUUGCCCUUUUAGUCUGUGUGCACAAUUUAUAAAACCUACACCUUGUCAGGGUUUAGGGCUUCCAUAGGGCUAUUGCUUUAACCAAGACCUAAAAGACUAACUCACACUAGGUCUGAUUUAACAUCCCUGUCUAUCCUUUGUGUUUACAACCCUAUCUAUCCACAGCUUCCUGACCCUCCCUAGACAAUCUUUUCCUGCACUGUGGAAUGGGCUUGUUUGUUCUUACUUCACAUUGCUUAGAAGUAGGGCUGUUAAUUUUGGGUUGUAAUGGCAACUAAAUAUUAAAUAGAAACAAAUAAAGAAACCCCCACACAAACAACAAAGAAACAAACAAAUUGCAAUGAUAAACCAAUAUAAGUACUAUGGUCCAGAAAAUUUUUCCAUGCCAGCAGGGUCUGGACACUUGCUUUCCUUCAUAAAUCAUGUUGGACAUUAAUAUCCUCUCUGUUUCCCAUGUGCCUCUGGAUACCAAAUUUUUGUCACGCUCAUCUCCAGACAUUCCUCCUACCCCCAUUCUUUCCCUUACUCCUGCAUAACUCUGGACAUGCCAUUCCCUUUUCCAAGCAAGCUAAUCUGAUACCAGUUGUGAUGCUAAUCUUGCUGGAACUGUAAUGCCCCUGGAGGUCUGAGGGUGCAAUCUAAAACUACCUUGUAGGAACGAUAUGGAUAAAAACCAUCAUGAGGUGCACAGGAAAGUAUUCUGCAGCAGGGAUAAGGCGUAUCUAAUCUACAGAAUGUUCUCGUGUCAUUAGUAUCUUACAUGUUGUCCUACAUGGCCAAUUAUAAAUAGUUCUGCAGUCACCAGAUGGGAAAUGUUUUUAAUCACAAAUCUUACUCUCUCAGCUUCAUUGUCGCUUCUUCCUGGACAAACAUGUAACAACUGAUUAAUGUUAAACCAAAUGUUGUUUAUUUAACCGACAAAUGGAAAACACAUUAUUGGUUAACAGCUCUGCUUGGAAACAGUGUUUUAGAGGUGAUCAUGUAAUCAAAUGGGAGAAAACCCAAGUGGCAACAUGGAGCGCUAAGGCUGAGGUUGGUAACAACUGCAGUCAGUCAGCCAGGCAAAGCUGUCAGAACUUACAAAGAGAUGAGAACAGAGCUGUUUGAUUCCAAAGUCAGGUUUAAAGCAUUAUUCUUUUAUUGCACAAUUGAAUUUAACUCCUAGCUAACAAGUAGAAUUAGCAUUUGAAUUUGCAACGUCCAUUUGUUCAGAGUCAUCUCCCAGGGUCUUUUCCUCCUGGCUGAGAAGUCUUACAAAGUAGGCUUUUUUUGCCACUGCAGUGCAGCUGAUUUCAGAGCAGGCUUAAAUGACAUUGCAGAAGUCUUUCUUUCCAAGGGACAGCCAAAACUUCCUUGGCUCACCUGCCAGUUCUGUUCUGACUCUUGCAUGUCACACAUCUGUCUGCUCCCACCACACUGUUGGAUGACUACCGAGUUUAUGAGAAUAUUUGUGACCGCUCUUAAUUGAGAAGAAGGAUACCACUCCAGAAGUCAGCAGCAGGCAAACAUCAGCUGUCUAAAAGAUAUGAGUGCUCUCUUUUAUAAAAAUGCAUUCUAGUUUCUGGCACUUCCUAGAUGGCUGAGCUAAAGUGCUGGAGAAUGUGAGGGUGGGACAUUGUGACUCAGCUGUUUGCUCUAUAGCAUUCAUUAAUAUCUUGUAUAUUUGCCUACAAGGACAGUUAUAAAUAGUUUUGUAGUGAUCAGAUGUGAAACAGUAAGCACAAUCCUUACUCAGCACCACAGGGGAAUAAGCUUCCUAUCAUCCCUCCCCCACUUUCUUUCUCUGACACCCGUGUUGUUCCCUGAGCACUUUUACUACUGGGAUAGCAGCCCUGGCCUGGGUGCUGGUGGUGAGGGACUUCUCACCUAAUGGAAUGAGCAGGAGGGCAAAGGACCAUGAAAAAAACAAGGUACCCGGCUCUACCCCCACCUCCAUGUGCCAGCUAGAUCAAAUGUCUAUAGGUCUGACUCAGAGUCCUCUGAAGUCCAUGCAAAUAUUUGUGCUGAUUUCAGUGGCUUUGGCUCAGCACCUGUGUACACAAAUGAAAGUAAGUUUUUUUCCCAAAAAGGGACAAAGUCGUGUUUUCCUUUCAUAGAGAGAAGGGGGAAACAAAUACUAUCUUCCCUGCUCGGUACCUGGGACAAUCCAUCUAGAUAUUGUGCAUCCUGAUCAGUUGUUAGAAUUCUAGCUGAUCCCUAGAAAGUCUUCCUCAUGCAUAAUCCUCCAUUCUUGUUGCAAGACCAAGGAACAAUGCAUAAAGCUUUCUGCCUUGCAGUUUUGAAUGUUAAAGGGGUAAUUUAAGACCAGAAACACUUUAUGAAAUGUGUCCAUUCCAAGAGAAGGAAAAUGUAAUCCUUUACUACUCAUGGCAACUGUGAGUGGCAGAACACCUUAAUUCUUUAAAAGUACAUUACACUUGUGCUACCCUGCAAUUUCUGUUUGUUUAUUUGUUUUUCUUCAAAGCCUUUGUACCUGAAAGCUGAGUGGUUUAAAUGAUUUUUUUUUUUUUUCUGGGAAGAAUAUAGAUAAGGAACUCACAAGCAAACAAACACUAAGGCUACAGUCCAGGUAAGUUUACUGUUUUACAAGUUAUGAGAGUUCAUGUUCCUGAAUCUCUCUGUAUGUGUGCAUCCUCCUCUGACGUGAUGUAUGUAGAUUAUUUUCGAGUUACGUCUGUUGCAUGUUCUAGGCAUCAGUGUCAGUGCAAAAAAAGUGUAAUAAGGUCAAGCCCCAGAGACUUACAUGAUUUAAAAAACAACAACAACAACAACAACAACAACAACAACAACAACAACAACAACAACAACAACAAAUACUUUAGAGCUCAUGAUUUGUCAGUUUAAUUGAGUGCUGUUGAGGUAAUGGCCUGUGAUUAAUCCAGCUUCUUCACUUUAAUUCUGUGGUUUCAAAGUCUAUCUCAAAGGCUAAUCAAAUCCCUUGUUAUAAAAUUCUGCUUUGAAACUUGGACCAUCAAAACUUUCUUUUACAUGUUGUCAAGGUCAUAAUGAAAUAGAAAUCGAAAUUAUUAUGGCAGUAAUUCUGUGGUAGUAAAAGCUAUUUCAUGUUGUUGUUUUUUCUGCUAGAGGGAAAAGAUGGCUUUCAUUUUUCUUUCGAAAUGCAAAGGAGUCAAGUUAUUCUGUUCCUGGAGUAUGUUUCCAUUGAUCCCUUAUGACUUGUUUCUAGAAGAAGACUCUGGAUAGAACAGUUCUAAAUGAAAAACUUGUAGUUUGGAAGAAAACAUAUGGUAAUAGAGUUUUGAGAACUCCUGCAAUGUUUUCAUAAGUGACAGCAUUUUGAUGAAGGAUAACGUUCCGUGUUCUGGUCAAUAACACAACUUUUUCUGACUCUUCAUGGAAUGACAGUCUUGUCUGGGGCAGUCAUUCUAAGCGGUUACCUGCCUGGGAGAGCAAUUAGUAGGGGUUACUAGAACAAGUAGGCAAAGGUCUUUGCCUCUCCCCUUAACAAGAAGGAAUAGGAAGAUCACAACAUGCUAACGUAUCUCCCUGUGUUCCCACUCUCUGCCUCCUCUGAGCAAGAAAAUGCCUCUUUUUUGCUUCACUGCUUAACUAGUCUUUCUGAAAACAUCUGAAGUUGCUUUUCAACAGGCAUAAGAGGGAGAAAAAAUCCAAAGAGAAUUUCUUCCUAAGCUCUUGUGGCAGUGGUGAAAAAUUGCAGGAAGUGAUGAAGGUGGGCAUGUUUGUGUGCAAAUCAGAAGAAAUUAGGGAGAUGCUGGGAACAGGACUCUGCAGCAAUAACAGAUAUGGAGGUCAGAGACCUGUGGAGAGUCAAAGAACACAGAAAUUUAGUGAAGCAUGUGGGAUGGAGAACAGCAUUGCUUUGGAAGUCUGGAGCGUAGGUUAAUCAAAGACAGAAGAACAAGUGAAUUUGAGGGAUGAGAUUUUUUACCCAAGGGCCAAAACUGUGUUUAACCACAGCAGAAACACAAAGGGUAAUUGGCUAAAUUUUUAAUGAAUACUUGGAGGUAGUGAACACAUGAAGUUGUGAGAUAUGCCCUUAAUCAAAGCAGAAACUGAUGCCACAUAAUUUCUGCCAGGUUUCUGGAACAGUCAGGGUAGAAAUUGCUGGCAGAUGUCCUUGCUCUUAUGCUCUCUACAGACAACUCUUUACAAUUCCUAGACCUUUGUGAACCACCUCCAAGGCCAUCUUGGGCACUGGCUAGAAUCUCUGAUAGGAACUAAGGGUGAGGGUAGAAGUACCUGCUGAGCAGAGGAGAGGGGCCUAGACAAAGGACUGAAAGACCAUGUUGGAAUUUAUUGUUGGGGGUUUUUUAUUAUUUAUUUAUUUUGCAUGUUAAAGCACAAGUAAGGAUUAGAGUUGGAAAGGCUUGUCUUUGUUUUCUUUGUUUCUUCAAGGGCAGUUAGCUGAGGACUCAGCAAGCCUAAUUUUUUAUCUCCUUCCUAGUUCUAGAGAAUUCUCAGAUACGCCCAGAAAAACAAUUUCCCUGUAUUAAGUGCCUAGUAUAAUUUUCCCCUUUUUCAACUAGGACUCUGUAUUCCUGGUGUUGGUAAACUCUGCUGCUGCAGGCCCAAAUCUUUUGGUUGCCUCAAAGGAAAGGCUGGUUGAAACCCAGACGUAUGUUAGGGAGCUGGCAGAGAGCACAAUAGAUAGCAAUGACUCCAGGGUCUCAAAGGUAUCAUGUGGCUGGCACAUCACACAUAAGUAUUUAGAGAGAGUUCAUUUUGGCUGAUGUUGACUAGCUACCACACGUGUAGUAAAGCCACGUGGGGGAAGUAAAGAAAGCAGAGUGAAGAGGUAUAAGGGCACGUUUUCCUGCCACAAAGAGUGAUAAGCAAAGAAGCCCAUUGAUUUUGGUGCCACCUCUGUAGGACUAGGUGAAAGCAGCAGCAUGUAUUUGUGAUCUGGUAGAAGACCAGCCUAAUCACAGCAGUGUAGCCCUCAUUCCUGGACUGCACUUUUGUUAGAGGGGGAACCAAGUGUCAGGUUUUGCUUGUUGUCACAAAUUAUGAAGGAAGAGCUCAAGAAAUGUCUUUGUCUGGAUCCUGUCAAAGUAAGUUUUGUGUGUUGCCCUUAGGGCUUUCAGACAUACCUAACUUCCUCACAGAGUGUGAGCAUGAGCCUUGAUGGUCUUAUCCACUGGAGACAGUUUGUAUUUGAUUAAAGCAUCUUGAUGGUUCUGAAUUGAGUCAAACUUUUGAUAUAGGGCAGAAUCGGAGGUUUCAGAGUUGACAAGGUGCAAAUAUAUCAGAACAAAAAGACACUGUCAGUUGUGUAGCAAAGGUUUGAGACUAUCCCUAAGACUACUUAGCAGUGAAAACAUGGACUAAACUUGACUUCAUUGAUUAAACCUGCACAAAAGGCCUGCACUCUGAGAACAGAUGGACAAUACAGCCAAAUACCAUAACAAGAGCAGUGCUUGGGAACACUGUUUUAGCACUGUGGAUAUGACCAAAGAGUAAUUCACAGUGACUGCCAGAAUCCCAGCACCUUCUAAAGGAGUGACUUUAGAGAGAGGAACAGUAUAUUACUGUGACAAAACACUUUUAUGGCCUUAUCCAACUGCCUUAGCUCACAAUCUAUGCCUAUAAGAGACAAAACCAGGAGAUGUUAGAAAUAAUUUUAAAAUGUCUAGCAUAUGACAAAAAAAAAAGGCUGUAAUGAUUAUGGUAAUAAAGGUGAAAUAAAACUUUAUCAUAAACUAUUGCUUUGCAGUGGUCAUAGUAAACUACUUCCACCAAUGCAUAUAGUGACAUUAGGGGUCAUAAAAUUCAUCUAAGAAUUAAGAGACUAUCUCAAAAUGAGACUCCAACAAUGAGCCAGAUGAACCAAAUCAGAUCAAAGUCUUAAGACUGUGAAAAAAAAAAAAAAAAAGAAAUUAGAAGGGAGAACUGAGCUGAAAGGUCAGCAUUUAAAAGCAUAGAUUCCAGAAGGAGACCUGUGAUGAAAAUUGAACUCAGGAAAUGUUUCACACUUCAAGAAUGUGGAAGAACACAUCCUAAUAGGAUAGGCUUGAGUCUUUUGUAGGAGAUUAUUGUUUAGAAUUAUCUUUUCUCAUCUCCGUAAAGAUUCUGAGUUUGAGUGAAUUAUUCCUGUCAGUUAUUGGGAAUCUAAGAUUUGACAGUUCUUUGUUAAAGACAUAUUUGGGCACAGUAUUUUGCUAUAUUGCUAUCUUAGUUUCAUUUUUUAUUUGCCUGCCUGUAAUUGUGGUGUAUAAAUUUCAUAUAUAAAAUAAAAAAUCAAUGCAAAUUUUCUUAGAUGACAUGGAGCUAGUGAACAUGCAUGCUAAAUGAUGCCUUUAUGUAAGCAAAACUGUAUUUUAAAAAAACCUUGACACAAUAGUUAAAAUGAAAACAAAAAUAAUACAUCUGUAAUUGCAGUAUUUUUCAUGUUGAAAACUUAAAACAUUUUAUACAUUGGAUAGAUAGGUAGGAAAAUUACAGUCUUGAUUUCGCACUGCAAUAUCUGUCAGUGGUUUUACUUACGUGAGUAACUAUAUUUCAAUGUGUAAGUCUCUAGUUCUAAAACCACUUCAGUAUUCAACUUGGAACGCUUUUUUAGGAAGGGCAUCAACCUAAAUUAUUUGCAUAUUUGGGGUAAAAUUUCCAAAAAAGUGGUACAAAAGCUAAAGCUACUCACAUAUGUAAUAGUUUCAGUUUAACUGCUCAGAUCUUUACAGAUAUUUACAAGUCUACGAAUUCACAGAAGAGGGUUGUUAGAUUUAGAUCUUAUUUUAGAUUCUGGUCCAGUUUAUUACUUUGUCUGUCCAGAACCAAAAGCAUAUUUCAGCUCUUAGGCCCUAAUCUUUCAAAUACUUAAUGCAUGUUUAAUUUCACUAUAUCUGAAAAAGCUUUAAGGUAUGUUGAUAUUAGCAGGAUAAGGUUCUCUGGGCAAGGGUGAAAACAUGACUUUCUUAUUGAAUUCCCAUUGGCAUCAGCAGAGUCAGGAUUUGCACUUGUAUCCAUGAUAUAUGAGCUUUCAUAAACUGUGAGUAAUAUGUGUAUGCUUUUAAGUUUUCUUUUGGGACUUCCAGACCACAUUCCUAUAAUCCUGUGUUUUGAUUCAGACCUUGCUUUCUGGCAUAUUUCUGCUCUAAAACCGAGAUGCAAAAAGUUUUUAGAAAGUAAUAGCUAUCUCAUUUGUUGUCUGAAUGAUCAUAACAAUGGGUCAGUAAUCAGAGGAAGAGUACUGCAUGCUUCUUGUUGUGUAAAGCGGAUACAUCUGUGAAUAACAUUUUAGUUGGCACAUCCUUAACAGACACCCAGAUUGCUAAUAUCCACAGCUGAUUGCAAUGUUAGCUCUGAAUAAAGAAAAUGCAGACUUUCUAUGUCAAGGCAUGCUGGGAUGAUGGAACCUCUAGAAGGCUUUUAGGAGGAUUGUCACAAUUAAAUUUGUGUUUUGUCUGUAACUUCAGUAACAAAGGAGUUAUAUCUUUAACACGUCUUGAAAUGUAGAAUCAUAGAAUAAUUCAAGGUGGAAGGGGCUUCCUGCUCAAAGUAGGGCCAGCUCUGAGAUCAGACCAGAUUGCUUGCAGCUUUAUCCAGUCUGACCUUGAAAACCUUCAACUUCCCUAGGUGACCUGGUCCAUUGGUUGACUGUCCUAAUACUGACAGUUCCUGCUGAGCAGGGUUUAUGCGCUUUCUUGGGCCACUUAGGUUAAGUUAUGGUUGGACUCAAUGAUCCUGAGGGUCUCUUCCAACUGAAGUGAUUCUGUAAUUCUAUGCAGAGAGUAAGGAAAAUGGCUUUCUCAGACAAAAGUUUCAAACAUCCGGGUGAGAAGCUCCUUGGGACAGCACAAAGGAAAGAGAGGUGAGUCUCAAUCUGUUUCUAUGCCUCCUGUUUCCAAGAAUGGUGGGAACUUGGGUGUGGAGCAGCUGUAGAGUGCAAUGGAUGUGAUUAUUUUCUGUUGUGCUAUGUCUACUUUCUUCAAAAUAGUGUUUUGUGACACCAGCAGUGCCUGGAGAGUUAGUUGCAAAAUAGUGCAAUUAAACUAUCAAACAAUUAACAGGAAGGUUAGUGGCUAUUUUGUAUUAAAACUGAAAAAUUAUUCUUAUGUAGCAAAGAUAAUUGCAGCCUUAGUGGCAAAAAUCACACUACUAUAGUGAAGUUAAAUGGAAGUCUCUUGGCUUUUAAAACAGUGGAAAAAAAAGUUGACUGCCACUUUGAUGGCCAGAAGGUGCUUAACAGAUCUACUGAAUGGGAUGUACAUAGUCUUAAAAAUCUGUGAGUAAUUUAAUGGUGAGAAAUGUACUAAGGAUGUAAGACAAAACCAAUACAGAUCUUAGUUUUCUUCCAAAACAUACAUGCGGUACAAAUAAUCAUUUCAGUGCCUUGUGGAAUAAAAUUAAAAGGGUUAGAAAAAUUUGAAGGUACUGAAUGAAUUCAGGUGCCAGCUGACUGAAAUCAUGGUGUGGCCACCAUAUACAUAUAUGCAAGGAGGCGAAGUUAUUAUAACAAGCUCUUUCUUAGCCUGUGAGAGAGCCAACAAGGCCAAACCUAGAUUUUUUUAUUUUUAUUUUUAUUUUUUCCCUCCAGCCUAUGAUCUUGACAUCUUGAGUUAGAAUCUUCUCCUUGGGCAAAUAAGUUCAAGUGCUUUCACUGCAGGAUUCCACUGACACAUAAGAUGCACAAAAAUCUCUUUGACUGGAAAUAUUGAUUGAUGAUGUGCUUAUUUGGGACAGAAAUUAUUAUGUGUUAUGAAAAUCUAUGUAAUGUAUGCCAAGCAAAAAAAGCCUUAAAUUGAGUGAGAACUAAUAUCCAAUUGGGACGAGUAAGACUGGUUAUUUGGGAAACCUACUGUGAUCUGUGCAUUGUGACAAAGGAAUUUGACUGAAUGUAAGUAAGGUAACUGGACAAAUGGAAAGACUUCAAAUGAAAAAGACCACCCAGAGAUUCACAGAUUCAUUGCUGUUUCUAAGCAAACCUAUUCUCUGGUUUACCAUAAAUAUUCCACUGAGCAUAUCGCUAGAGGACAAUAGCAAAUGCUGUUACGACUGCAAGGGGAAAGACUUGGGGAACUGCCACAGAGGAGCUGAAAUCCAUUUUUCUCGGUUUAAGGAAGAGUCCAAGUUGAUCAAGUUUAUGUGGAUUAGGGACUGCCCUUCUGAAAGAAAAUAGUCAGAGGGCAUAUCAUUUCAAAACACAGAUUUAACUGCAAUAGAAUUAUAUGCAGAUUGGGAAAUCCAGCUGGAUUGGAUGGAUUUAUGAGUGGUUUCAUGAAUGUGUUUGUAAAUCACUUGAGGUAAAAACAGACCAUAUAGCACAGGAACCUAUAUGAUAGAAACUACUUUACAGAUAGCCCUUUUACCCUCAGAAAAUGUCCAUGAAAUUGAAAAAAACCCUUCAAUGUGAAAUCCUGGCUUGAAAAGGGCAUGAUUAGAAUAUCCAUGAUUAGGAGAGGAAACAUGAAGUGGUCUGUGAGGGCUCUUUUCAGAGAGAUUCUUGCAUAAGCAUAGAUUUUUGCAAAGGUGUUGAAAGUGUGAUGGAACAUGCUGAGAUCAGGAGGGUGUCACUAGGUAGUGUCAACAUGUGCCUGUGCUGACUGUUGGAGAGGUGCUAAUGGAAUUUUAAAUAAUCUUUUCUGCUCCUUAGGUUUCAUAAGGUGUAGCUUUCUUUACUUCAAGGACCUGACUACAUUAUCAGGGUUUAAGCAUUAACAUGUUUCUAAGGAACAGAAUACUGGAAAACAAGCAAGAAGUUGAAACAAUAGGAAGAUCUUGCUCAUUUCUGUCAAUUUGUUUCAUAAUUUGUAUGAAUUAUUUCAUUUUUAAUGGAAAAAGGUCUUGUUUAAAUUUAAAUUGCUGUAUGUUACAUUUCGUAAAGCAACUGUUUAUACAUCUGUAGUGAACCCCCCUUCCCUCACAUAUGGGAUUCCAGAUGAAUUUAUAACUGAUUGUGUUCAGCAGUCUAUAAAUUUCUGCUUUUUUCAGCCAACCUCUUUUGAUUAUUUGCAUGGGUUAGCAGAAAUAGUUAAGUUAUGAGAAUAUAUUCUUGAGAGUUUAACAAAUUUAUUCACAUGGAACACUACUGCAAAACAUAUCUUACGUCUCCAUGUACAAAGAUGAUGUUAUAGACUUGAGAGCAGAAAACAAAAGUUUCAGUGCCAGAAUGUAGUGGGUUUGUUGAACCAAAAGUGUUUAACCAUGGUUACCCAAAAGAACUAUACAUCAAGAAUGACGAAUAGGGCAGAAAACUUACUCCAAGAAUACACAAUAGUUACCAUGAGUGUGUCUAAUAUUUCAAGCAAAUCAAUGGAACUUCUGCUAAGGGAAUAAGUUGAUGAUCUUAACAAUGCCCUUUUUUAUAAGCACUCAUGAUGGUGAAUCCUCUCAGAAGAGAGCAUCAGGAGUAGCUGGCUUUCUGUUUCUUGAGAACAAAUGUAAACAAGCUCAUGCAGCCAUUAGAAAAGGAAAGCCACAGGAAGAAAAAGUAUGAAUUGCAGCAGUGCUUCCUCUUUCAGAGUUGGUUAGAAAGCCCCAUGUGAUUCAGAGGGCAGAGUGACCCUGUGAUGGUAAACCUUGAAGGUUCAGAAGUAAUUAUUUUUAAUAGAGAUCCAAAAUAUUGCUUCUGGGUGUGGGGAAUUCUGAGAGUUUAUCCUAUCUCUUCUUCUAUAGGUAUUAAUUUGUACUUUACUAAUUGUUUGAAUUCAUGUAUCAUAGUUGUUGGUUUUGGUUAAAAUAGUUGCUUUUCUUAUCAAAUUUUCCAAGAUUAAAAAAUACAUGGAGGGCAAGGGGGAUAUAAUUUAGAAUCAUAGAACCAUGGAAUCAUUUCAGUUGGAAAAGACCCUGAAAAUUGAGUCCAAACAUAACCUAACUCUAGCCCUAAACCAUGAACCUAAGAACCUUGCCUAAGCACCUUUUUAACACCUCCAGGGGUGGUGACUCCACCACUUCCAUGGGCAGCCUGUUCUGAUGACUGACAACCCUUUCCGUGAAGAAUUUUUUUCCUAAUAUCCAAGCUAAACCUCCCUUGGUGCAACUUGGGGCUGUUUCCUCUUGUCCUAUCACUUGUUACUUGAGAGAAGAGAUCAACAUCCUCUAUGCUACAACCUCCUUUCAGGUUGUUGUAGACAGCGAUAAGGUCUCCCCUCAGCCUCCUUUUCUCCAGGCCAAACAGCCCCAGUUUCCUCAACCUCUUCUCAUCAGACUUGUGCUCCAGGCCCCUUACCAGCCUCGUUGCCCCCCUCUGAACUCUCUCCAGCAUCUCAAUGUCCUUCUUAUGAUGAGGGGCCCAAAACUGAACACAGGAUUCAAGGAGGGGCCUCACCAGCACCGAGUACAGUGGUACAAUCACUUCUCUAGUCCUGCUGGCCACACUAUUCCUGAUACAAGCCAGGAUGCUGUUGGCCUUUUUGGCCACCUGGGCACACUGCUGGCUCAUGUUCAGCUGACUGUCAAUCAACAACCCCAGAUCUCUUUCUGCUACUAAAUCCAGUGGUUGGGUCUUUUGUGACCCAACUCAUAUCCUAUGGCUAAUGCCAGGAAAUACCAGACCUCCUUUGUGUUACGUUACAAUGUCUAAUAUGUUGAAAGAAUAUUGUUUUCCAUUAAAUGAAACAAUCUUUCAGCAGCUUCUCAAGUAAGUCAUAUAACCAGUAGUUUUUUGUUUUGCAGUACGGGCUGAGAUGCUCACUUUGCAUUUCAGAAUCAUCACCCAGUUUCUAAGCUACGAGAGUAGGGCUCUUUUAAAUCGUAAUCUAUUGUUGCUCCAAUAUUACUGGUGCCCACUGGCAGAAGACUACUGGUGUCAUGUAACCAUAAAUAUUCAUGUGAAUGAACUCUAAGUUGCUAGUAGUUCCUCUGGCACAUCACAUGACUUUUCAUGGAAGCAGUGUACCUAUUUGCAAAAAAAGCAACGAGUUUUAGCUUUUCAGUGUGUUCUGCCUGUGCCAUUUCUCAGAUUCAAAUAACUGCCUAGAAAUAUUUUCAAAGUUUUUUUAAGAUAUAUUAGGACAUAAUUAUGUUCAUAUCACAUAUUCCUACGUUAUUGAUUGGUGUUCUUAAUAUUAUGAGACAGCUGCAGUCUUUUCCAAUAAACUCAUUUUUUAAAGCGUGUUUGUGUGGUCUGUUGCAAAACACCGAGCUUUCACUCCUUUUAUAUGUGUACACAUUCAUCCUUGCUGAAAGCCUUUGAUGUUAAAUAAAGGAUAAGUCUGAC
This is a long non-coding RNA of Columba livia (rock pigeon), 20475 nucleotides long. RefSeq lists it as uncharacterized. The transcript is spliced from 3 exons. The record is from RefSeq and is a predicted model, not a curated record. NCBI's taxonomy places the organism in Eukaryota, Metazoa, Chordata, Aves, Columbiformes, Columbidae.